Molecule: long non-coding RNA, 500 nt
Filed under: Mytilus galloprovincialis (Mediterranean mussel)
Lineage: Eukaryota; Metazoa; Mollusca; Bivalvia; Mytilida; Mytilidae
Source: RNAcentral
UGGUGUGUGGUUUGAGAGGAGUUGUGAUGACAAACUGUUGCAGUAGUACAUUAAAGUAAAUAAGUUCAAAGGGGCGUUACUCCUAGAAAAAAAAAUGAAUCGCAAUUUUCCAUCGAUAUGCACAACUACAUAGUAUGUCCUUAUUAUCUGAAAAGGUUUCGUGAAAUUCUGUUGUGUGGUUUGAGAGGAGUUGCGAUGACAAACUGUUGCAGUAGUACAUUAAAGUAAAUAAGUUCAAAGGGGCGUAACUCUUAGAAAAAAAAAUGAAUCGCAAUUUUCCGUCGAUAUGCACAACUACAUAGUAUGUCCUUAUUAUUUGAAAAGGUUUCGUGAAAUUCUGUUGUGUGGUUUGAGAGGAGUUUCAAUGAUAAACUGUUGCAGUAGUACAUUAAAGUAAAUAAGUUCAAAGUGGCGUAACUCCUAGAAAAAAAAUUGAAUCGCAAUUUACCGUCAAUAUGCACAACUACAUAGUAUGUCCUUAUUAUCUGAAAAGGUUUCGU